Long non-coding RNA from Bubalus bubalis (water buffalo), 567 nucleotides. RefSeq lists it as uncharacterized. The record is from RefSeq and is a predicted model, not a curated record. NCBI's taxonomy places the organism in Eukaryota, Metazoa, Chordata, Mammalia, Artiodactyla, Bovidae. The transcript has 3 exons.
CAAUAUGCCGGCUCCUGGCAGAUGGGGGUCAGUCCCUCUCCUUGGUGGAGACCCGAGUCCAGACUGGGGGCUGUUUCCCGGGUAGCUAUUAGGGAUCAAAUAAGGAAGGAAGGGGAAGAGAAUUGGACCCUUCUCUGCGCCUUUGUGCAAGCCCUCCGCCUGGCUGUGCAUUCUUCGGGCUCUGCACCAGCCCUCCUUCCUUCUGGCGUACUUGUCCUUGUGUGCCUUUUACACGUGGGGAGCUGAGGCUCCUAGUGCGGGUCAGCCAAGGUCAUGCCUGACCCAGGCCGGAUGACUAGGGAAUCCACUAAGCUUUAAGGACCCGCCAGGCUCCCUGCUCAGUUCACGGGGUCCGCUGGCGACGGUCAGCUGGGCCGGACGCAGAGAAAGAGUUUUGGAUGAAGUAGAAGGAGGACACAGCAUGUUCCCUCUAAACAGUGCGUCCCUACUUGGAGAAGAGAGUUGAAAGUUUUGCAGUAAUUGUUCAAAGAGGGCGUGAUCAGCAUCAAACAUUCUUCUGAAUGGUUGGUGGUGAGGCUCUCCUGUGUUUCCUCUCAUGGCCACAGC